CAGAAUCUGCAUUGUUGGUGAUGUGGAGAUGUUUUUUUGAGGCUAUACCCUUAAAUCGGGUUCUUAACCAUAUUUGGAUGCCAUGCCCGACGGGUAAGGCUGAAUGGAUGUGCAGGGAACCCACCUGUUGAGACAGGUCUCGAAAAAUCUCGCACACGGCAAAUGCGGACUGUUU
Molecule: non-coding RNA, 175 nt
Filed under: Candidatus Omnitrophota bacterium
Lineage: Bacteria; Pseudomonadati; Candidatus Omnitrophota
Description: Candidatus Omnitrophica bacterium 6S RNA
Rfam family: 6S / SsrS RNA
About the family: E. coli 6S RNA was the first non coding RNA to be sequenced, but its function was unknown until recently. It consists of 184 nucleotides that fold into an extended hairpin structure with a large single-stranded internal bulge. The 6S RNA specifically associates with RNA polymerase holoenzyme containing the sigma70 specificity factor.
Source: RNAcentral